GAUGAACGCUAGCUACAGGCUUAACACAUGCAAGUCGCGGGGCAGCAUGGGGUUGCUUGCAAUCCCCGAUGGCGACCGGCGCACGGGUGAGUAACGCGUAUCCAACCUGCCCUUCACCACGGGAUAACCCGGCGAAAGUCGGACUAAUACCGUAUGUUGUCCAUUGACGGCAUCCGAUUUGGACGAAAGGUUUGGCGGUGAAGGAUGGGGAUGCGUCCGAUUAGCUGGACGGCGGGGUGACGGCCCACCGUGGCGACGAUCGGUAGGGGUUCUGAGAGGAAGGUCCCCCACACUGGAACUGAGACACGGUCCAGACUCCUACGGGAGGCAGCAGUGAGGAAUAUUGGUCAAUGGGCGUAAGCCUGAACCAGCCAAGUAGCGUGCAGGAUGACGGCCCUAUGGGUUGUAAACUGCUUUUAUGCGGGGAUAAAGUGGCCCACGUGUGGGUUUUUGCAGGUACCGCAUGAAUAAGGACCGGCUAAUUCCGUG
Molecule: ribosomal RNA, 489 nt
Filed under: uncultured bacterium
Lineage: Bacteria
Description: partial 16S ribosomal RNA
Rfam family: Bacterial small subunit ribosomal RNA
Source: RNAcentral